Non-coding RNA from Ciona savignyi (Pacific transparent sea squirt), 119 nucleotides. NCBI's taxonomy places the organism in Eukaryota, Metazoa, Chordata, Ascidiacea, Phlebobranchia, Cionidae. The record is from Rfam.
GCUUAUCACCAUUCCAGAUUGAAUAUACCCGAUCUCGUCUGAUCUCGGAAGUCAAGCAAUCUCGGGCUUGGUUAGUACUUGGAUGGGCCACCGCUUGGGAAUACCAAGUGUGAUAAGCA